AGGGCGUUCUGCAGCGACCCAGCUAUAAGUUCUUCAAGUCUCUGGACGAAGAUUUCGGAGUGGUGAAGGAGGAGAUCUCGGAUGACAACGCUAAGCUGUCGUGCUUCAAUGGCCGGGUGGUGUCCUGGCUGGUGUCCGCUGAGGGCUCACACCCAGACCCAGCCCCCUUCUGUGCUGACAGCCCAUCGAAGCUGCCACCACCUAUGGAGCGCACUGGAGGCAUCGGGGACUCCCAACCACCAUCCUUCCACCCUCACGCCGGUGGAGGCAGCCAGGAAAACCUGGACAAUGACACAGAAACGGACUCCUUGGUGUGUGCCCAGCGAGAGCGUCCACGCCGGAGGGAUGGCCCAGAGCAUGCAGCCCGGCUCAACGGAACUGCGAAAGGGGAGCGGAGGCGAGAGCCACGCGGUUACGACAGCUCGUCCACCCUCAUGAGCAGCGAGCUGGAGACCACCAGCUUCUUUGACUCAGAUGAGGAUGACUCCACCAGCAGGUUCAGCAGCUCCACAGAGCAGAGCAGCGCCUCACGCCUGAUGAGACGACACAAGCGGCGGCCGCGGAAGCAGAAGGUUUCCCGGAUUGAGCGGUCCUCAUCCUUCAGCAGCAUCACGGACUCCACCAUGUCACUCAACAUCAUCACGGUCAUUCUCAACGUGGAAAAAUAUAACUUCUUGGGCAUCACCAUUGUGGGCCAAAGCAACGAGCGUGGAGACGGCGGCAUCUACAUUGGCUCUAUCAUGAAGGGUGGGGCCGUGGCUGCUGACGGGCGCAUCGAGCCAGGAGAUAUGCUGUUACAGGUAAACGAGAUCAACUUUGAGAACAUGAGUAAUGACGACGCAGUCCGGGUACUGCGGGAGACUGUGCACAAACCGGGGCCCAUCACCCUUGCUGUAGCCAAGUGCUGGGACCCAAGUCCACGUGGUUGCUUCACGUUGCCCAGGAGCGAGCCCAUCCGGCCCAUUGACCCUGCGGCCUGGGUCUCCCACACUGCAGCCAUGACGGUCACCUUCCCUGCAUACCGCAUGAGCCCCUCCCUGAGCACCAUCACCUCCACCAGCUCCUCCAUCACCAGUUCUAUCCCUGACACAGAGCACCUAGACGACUUCCACCUGUCCAUCCACAGUGACAUGGCUGCCAUCGUAAAAGCCAUGGCCUCCCCUGAAUCAGGGUUGGAGGUCCGUGACCGCAUAUGGCUCAAGAUUACCAUCCCUAACGCUUUCAUCGGCUUGGAUGUGGUGGACUGACUGUACCACAAUGUGGAAGGCUUCACGGACCAGAGCGAGGCCCGCAAGUAUGCCAGCAACCCGCUGAAAGCUGGCUUCAUCCGCCACACCGUCAACAAGAUCACCUUCUCCGAGCAGUGCUACUACAUAUUUGGCGACCUCUGCGGCAACAUGGCCAACCUGUCUCUCCACGAUCACGAUGGCUCCAGUGGUGCCUCUGACCAGGACACGCUGGCCCCUUUGCCGCACCCAGGGGCCGCCCCGUGGCCCAUGGCUUUCCCGUACCAGUACCCGCCACCCCCGCACCCCUACAACCCGCACCCGGGUUUCCCAGAGCUGGGCUACAGCUACAGCGGGGGCAGUGCCAGCAGUGAGCACAGCGAAGGCAGUCGGAGCAGUGGCUCCAACCAUAGCGGCAGUGAUCGGAGGAAAGAGAAGGACCCGAAGGCCGGGGACUCCAAUGCAAGGGGUAGCAGCAGCGAAUCGGACCACACGACACGCAGCAGCCUGCGGGGGCCGCGGGAGCGGGCGCCCAGCGAGCGCUCAGGCCCGGCGGCCAGUGAACACAGCCACCACAGCCACCAUCCUCUGGCCAGCAGCCUUCGCAGCCACCACACACACCCGAGCUAUGGUCCUCCCGGCGUGCCCCCUCUCUACGGCCCCCCAUGCUGAUGAUGCCCCCACUGCCCACGACCUUGGGGCCCCCAGGAGCCCCUCCGGUCCGCCACCUGGCCUCAGGGCCCCCGGAACUGACCGCCAGCAGACAGUCCUUCCGCAUGGCCAUGGGAAACCCCAGUGAGUUCUUUGUGGAUGUGAUGUGAGCAGGGCCCCUCCCCACCUCCAUUCUGCUCCCACCCUGGCCGGCUGCGUUCCUCUCCAUCCGUCCGUCUUUUUUACUUUGUUUGGUACCUGAAAGGGAAAUAAACGGAACUAAAUCCAAAAAAAAA
Molecule: RNA transcript, 2173 nt
Organism: Sapajus apella (tufted capuchin)
Lineage: Eukaryota; Metazoa; Chordata; Mammalia; Primates; Cebidae
Gene name: segment polarity protein dishevelled homolog DVL-3 pseudogene
Exons: 1
Source: RefSeq, a predicted model, not a curated record